CUACGGGCCGCUCCAGUGGGGAAUAUUGCACAAUGGAGGAAACUCUGAUGCAGCAACGCCGCGUGGAGGAUGACACUUUUCGGAGCGUAAACUCCUUUUAUAUAGGAAGAAGAUGACGGUACUAUAUGAAUAAGCGCCGGCUAACUCCGUGCCAGCAGCCGCGGUAAUACGGAGGGUGCAAGCGUUACUCGGAAUCACUGGGCGUAAAGAGCGUGUAGGCGGAUUAAAAAGUCAGAAGUGAAAUCCUAUAGCUUAACUAUAGAACUGCUUCUGAAACUCUUAAUCUAGAAUAUGGGAGAGGUAGAUGGAAUUUCUGGUGUAGGGGUAAAAUCCGUAGAGAUCAGAAGGAAUACCGAUUGCGAAGGCGAUCUACUAGAACAUUAUUGACGCUGAGACGCGAAAGCGUGGGGAGCAAACAGGAUUAGAUACCCUAGUAGUC
RNAcentral lists this ribosomal RNA (439 nucleotides) under uncultured bacterium. Its description in RNAcentral is "partial 16S ribosomal RNA". It matches the Rfam family "Bacterial small subunit ribosomal RNA", at positions 339 to 795 of the family's 1533-position model. The record is from RNAcentral.